ACAUGGGCGCCGGCGCGGAGCGCCGCGGGGCAGCGCGGGGUCGCCAUGGCUGAGCUGCAGCAGCUCCGGGUGCAGGAGGCGGUGGAGUCCAUGGUGAAGAGUCUGGAAAGAGAGAACAUCCGGAAGAUGCAGGUGAGCGGCCCGAGGCCCAGCAGAGGCGCUGCCAACGUGAAAGACCAGAAAGGCGAGGGCUUCCGGCCUCCCCGUUGGCCAGGUCAUGCCUGCUUCUCUUGUGCCCAACCUCGCUUCACACAGCGCGGGUUUCUACACUGUUCUUCUCUGAGCCCCGCAAUGCCUCUGUGUGUUUCGGUCCUGCUUCUCUCACGGAGUCUGUGUUUCCCAGAUAGUGCCCCUUGAGUCAUUGAUUAGUGGGUCGGCUGCCCUCUGGUGGAAUUUGUAUUGCUAGGUUGCUGACCUCUGAACCCCGUGGAAGAGGCUCCUGGUUUUCAGAAUUUGGCUUCGUCAGACUACCCUACUCUCACCCACUCGGGGGAACCUCUGUUCACCCAACCAUCGGUGCAACAGGUGCCGAUGAGCUAGCAGCAAGGACACCAUGAAACACUACACUAGACAUUGAGGAUAAUUUUCCCCAGUGGUGGUUUUAAGGUCCUGGUGUCUAUUCUCAGGGAAGGUGAAAGCAGAAGGUGGAGAGAGAGGUGCAAAUAUCCACGUGGCCUUCUAACUCCUGUAGUGCUCCAUAGUCAUCUCUGUCCCCAGAGACUUUCCUACCUAACCUCUCUGCCCUUUCUCCCCAGGGUCUCAUGUUCCGGUGCAGCGCCAGCUGUUGUGAGGACAGCCAGGCCUCCAUGAAGCAGGUGCACCAGUGCAUCGAGCGCUGCCAUGUGCCUCUGGCUCAAGCCCAGGCUUUGGUCACCAGUGAGUUGGAGAAGUUCCAGGACCGCCUGGCCCGGUGCACCAUGCAUUGCAACGACAAAGCCAAAGAUUCAAUAGAUGCUGGGAGUAAGGAGCUUCAGGUGAAGCAGCAGCUGGACAGUUGUGUGACCAAGUGUGUGGAUGACCACAUGCACCUCAUCCCAACUAUGACCAAGAAGAUGAAGGAGGCUCUCUUAUCAAUUGGAAAAUAAAAGUCUUUGCCAGUGGCCAUCAGGGCUGAGGGCAAGAAUAUAUUUUUUAUAAGGAAUUGGGAAUUUUAGUCUUUUAAGCAAAGUUUACGAAUGAAGAAAUGAAGGAUGGCCACAAGUGUAAGGCACAUGUCACUUGCCUCUGGACACUGGUUAUUUUAUGUUUCAGUCCCUAAAAAAUGAAAUGGAAAAAAGUGGUGCUAAAUCGAGUCAGAGAUAUUACAGGAGAGUUUUAGAGCUUAUUAUUUCCUGUGGCCAGUGCUUGUCCUGGCAGUAAGGCUCUCCCCUGUAACAAGCCAGAGCCCUCUAAGGUACCAGACUCUUCUUACUACACAGGUACUAACAGGCUGGCAGGUUAGAGUUGGUGGAGUCUGAGGAGAGAUAUUUUCUCUUUGUUGCCAACAUCCUGUUUACCAAAAGUAUCACCACACCAUCUUCCAUAAGCUGUGAAACAAAAUCAAUGAGGUCACUAACUUAGAAGGGAAAGAAAGUUUUCUGGGUCUUUGUUUUCUUGAUUUGGGGUAAUUUAUACAAGGGCGUACAAGUUGAUUUUAAGAUGUGGAACUGGGAGGUAGACUAGUUUGGAUAAGAACUCUGAAAUGUUCCUUGUGGAUCCCCAUUUCUGGUCAUCAAGAUGUGGAUGUACAUUUCUUAAAAUUAUUACAUGCUGCAUCUUUCAGCCUGGAGACCGUGCAGAAACAUGAGAGGUGACGACACACUAAUUAUGGGAAGCAGAAUUACUGGCUGAUGGCCCCUGAGGCUGUGUGUAGCAAAAUGACAGGACAAUCUUGCAGUAACACUUUCCCCUUGAAGAGAAGGGGGUUUUGAUUGUGAUAUAUACUAGUAUCUAGGAAUGAACAGUAAAAGAGGAGCAGUUGGCUACUUGAUUACAACAGAGUAAUGAAGUACUGGAUUUGGAAAAACCUGGUUUUAUUAGAACAGAUGGAAUGAAAGCCUACACCUAGCAUUGCCUACUUAGCCCCCUGAAUUAACAGAGCCCAAUUGAGACAAACCCCUGGCAACAGGAAAUUCAAGGGAGAAAAAGUAAGCAACUUGGGCUAGGAUGAGCUGACUCCCUUAGAGCAAAGGAGAGGCAGCCCCCAUUACCAAAUACCAUUUUUGCCUGGGGCUUGUGCAGCUGGCAGUGUUCCUGCCCCAGCAUGGCACCUUAUUGUUUUGAUAGCAACUUCGUUGAAUUUUCACCAACUUAUUACUUGAAAUUAUAAUAUAGCCUGUCCGUUUGCUGUUUCCAGGCUGUGAUAUAUUUUCCUAGUGGUUUGGUUUUAAAAAUAAAUAAGGUUUAAUUUUCUCCCCA
RNAcentral lists this small RNA (2397 nucleotides) under Pan troglodytes (chimpanzee). Its description in RNAcentral is "retained intron". Lineage: Eukaryota; Metazoa; Chordata; Mammalia; Primates; Hominidae. The record is from RNAcentral.